AGUGAAGCGGGAAAAGCUCAAAUUUAAAAUCUGGCGGUCUCUGGCCGUCCGAGUUGUACUCUAGAGAAGUAAUGCCCGUGCUGGACCGUGUAUAAGUCUCCUGGGAUGGGGCGUCAUAGAGGGUGAGAAUCCCGUCUUUGACACGGACUACCAGUGCAUUGUGGUAUGCUCUCAAAGAGUCGAGUUGUUUGGGAAUGCASCUCAAAAUGGGUGGUAAAUUCCAUCUAAAGCUAAAUAUUGGCGAGAGACCGAUAGCGAACAAGUACCGUGAGGGAAAGAUGAAAAGAACUUUGGAAAGAGAGUUAAACAGUACGUGAAAUUGCUGAAAGGGAAACGCUUGAAGUCAGUCGCGUUGGCCGGGGAUCAGCCUUGCUUUUGCAUGGUGUACUUUCUGGUUGACGGGUCAGCAUCAAUUUUGACCGCUGGAAAAAGACCUGGGGAAUGUGGCAGCUUCGGCUGUGUUAUAGCCCCUAGUCGCAUACAGUGGUUGGGAUUGAGGAACUCAGCACGCCGCAAGGCCGGGUUUCGACCACGUUCGUGCUUAGGAUGCUGGCAUAAUGGCUUUAAGCGACCCGUCUUGAAACACGGACCAAGGAGUCUAACAUGCCUGCGAGUAUUUGGGUGGAAAACCCAAGUGCGUAAUGAAAGUGAAAGUUGAGAUCCCUGUCGUGGGGAGCAUCGACGCCCGGACCAGAACUUUUGGGACGGAUCCGCGGUGGAGCAUGUAUGUUGGGACCCGAAAGAUGGUGAACUAUGCCUGAAUAGGGUGAAGCCAGAGGAAACUCUGGUGGAGGCUCGUAGCGAUUCUGACGUGCAAAUCGAUCGUCAAAU
This 831-nucleotide ribosomal RNA is filed under the name Agaricus inapertus. RNAcentral describes it as "eukaryotic LSU rRNA". It matches the Rfam family "Eukaryotic large subunit ribosomal RNA", at positions 92 to 910 of the family's 3401-position model. The record is from RNAcentral. Lineage: Eukaryota; Fungi; Basidiomycota; Agaricomycetes; Agaricales; Agaricaceae.